UGGGGAAUAUUGCACAAUGGAGGGAACUCUGAUGCAGCGACGCCGCGUGAGUGAUGAAGGAAUUCGUUUCGUAAAACUCUGUUCUAUGGGAAGAAAAGGACUGUACCAUAGGAGAAAGCUCCGGCUAAAUACGUGCCAGCAGCCGCGGUAAUACGUAUGGAGCGAGCGUUGUCCGGAAUUAUUGGGCGUAAAGGGUGCGCAGGCGGCUUUACAAGUUGGAUGUGAAAUAUUGUGGCUCAACCACAAACGUGCAUCCAAAACUGCAAAGCUUGAGUUAAGGAGAGGUAAGUGGAAUUCCCGGUGUAGCGGUGGAAUGCGAAGAUAUCAGGAGGAAUACCGGUGGAGAAGGCGACUUACUGGACUUAAACUGACGCUCAGGCACGAAAGCGUGGGGAGCAAACAGG
Molecule: ribosomal RNA, 404 nt
Filed under: Fusobacteriota bacterium
Lineage: Bacteria; Fusobacteriati; Fusobacteriota
Description: Fusobacteria bacterium partial 16S ribosomal RNA
Rfam family: Bacterial small subunit ribosomal RNA
Source: RNAcentral